CUAGAGUUGAAGGACAGCAUAGCUACAUAGCAAGAAGAUCCUGACUGAAGAAAAAUGAAACUGAACCACCACAGUAACUGUAACUACGGGAUAAAUCAGUAAUCCGAAUGGGUCCCCUCUGAGACCUCCCUGGGAUCUCCAGUCUCAGGUUCCUGGGCCAGCCUUUGAAGAACUCCACUUUAAAGAGCCAAGGCAGUGGUGGCGCACGCCUUUAAUCCCAGCGCUCAGGAGGCAGAGAAAUGCGGAUCUCUGUGAGUUUGAGGCCAGCUUGGUCUACAGAGCGAGUUCCAGAACAGGCUCCAAAGCUACACAGAGAAACCCGGGCUCGAAAAACAAACCAACAAAAGCCUCAGGAAGUCCCCGAGGCUGACUAUCAGAUGCUCGAGACCCUUCUUCCUGGGAGACAGAGACCAGCCAGCUACCUGGAGAGGUUCUGACUAACUGGGCUUCCUAGACCCCCUCCCCUGCCAAGCUGCCUGCAGGCUGUGCGCAGGUUUUCAGCUCCCUGAGGGCAGGGAACCCAAAUAAAAGCACUGGUUCAACAAC
Long non-coding RNA from Peromyscus californicus insignis, 546 nucleotides. RefSeq lists it as uncharacterized. The transcript is spliced from 2 exons. The record is from RefSeq and is a predicted model, not a curated record. NCBI's taxonomy places the organism in Eukaryota, Metazoa, Chordata, Mammalia, Rodentia, Cricetidae.